RNAcentral lists this ribosomal RNA (467 nucleotides) under uncultured bacterium. RNAcentral describes it as "bacterial SSU rRNA". It matches the Rfam family "Bacterial small subunit ribosomal RNA", at positions 926 to 1391 of the family's 1533-position model. The record is from RNAcentral.
CAAGCGGUGGAGCAUGUGGUUUAAUUCGAUGCAACGCGAAGAACCUUACCUGGCCUUGACAUCCACGGAAUUUGGCAGAGAUGCCUUAGUGCCUUCGGGAACCGUGAGACAGGUGCUGCAUGGCUGUCGUCAGCUCGUGUUGUGAAAUGUUGGGUUAAGUCCCGCAACGAGCGCAACCCUUAUCCUUUGUUGCCAGCACGUAAUGGUGGGAACUCAAAGGAGACUGCCGGUGAUAAACCGGAGGAAGGUGGGGAUGACGUCAAGUCAUCAUGGCCCUUACGGCCAGGGCUACACACGUGCUACAAUGGCGCAUACAAAGAGAAGCGACCUCGCGAGAGCAAGCGGACCUCAUAAAGUGCGUCGUAGUCCGGAUCGGAGUCUGCAACUCGACUCCGUGAAGUCGGAAUCGCUAGUAAUCGUAGAUCAGAAUGCUACGGUGAAUACGUUCCCGGGGCCUUGUACACACC